This 227-nucleotide ribosomal RNA is filed under the name uncultured Bacteroides sp. RNAcentral's name for it is "partial 16S ribosomal RNA". It matches the Rfam family "Bacterial small subunit ribosomal RNA", at positions 383 to 607 of the family's 1533-position model. Lineage: Bacteria; Pseudomonadati; Bacteroidota; Bacteroidia; Bacteroidales; Bacteroidaceae. The record is from RNAcentral.
CUGAACCAGCCAAGUAGCGUGAAGGAUGACUGCCCUAUGGGUUGUAAACUUCUUUUAUACGGGAAUAAAGUUAGGCACGUGUGCCUUUUUGUAUGUACCGUAUGAAUAAGGAUCGGCUAACUCCGUGCCAGCAGCCGCGGUUAUACGGAGGAUCCGAGCGUUAUCCGGAUUUAUUGGGUUUAAAGGGAGCGUAGGCGGAUGCUUAAGUCAGUUGUGAAAGUUUGCGG